UCGUCCGUCCGUCUGUCUGUCUGUCUGUCUGUUCUUACGAGAGGUACAUUGUGGGGUAAAAUUAACGUAUUUUCCAGCAGUGUGGGGUUUUUUGGGUACUGUGGGGUUAACCCCAUAAUGAAGAGGUCUAAUUACGUUCAAAAUUACUCUAUGAGGUCGAAAAACCUAAAAUUAGAUUUAACCUCACAAAGACUUUGUCCAAAUUUUGGACAUGUCCUUAGCCCAAAACGCUCAGACAUUCAGAAAUCUGCUGUUUAGAGGAGUUCGGUAAUUGAAUCGAGGAGUUCCGAAUACCUGAGCAUGCGCAUAUAUUUAAAACUAACUGCGCAUGCGCAGAAUACGGAAGUAGCUGUGUUUGGAUUAGCAGUGAGGAAAUUCGGAAACACAAAAAGCAAAUGCAAGUUCAGAUACUGAAAGUGAACAUAAGUGGAACUUUGAUGAUCUAGGCCGCUCUAUUUUUGCAGCAACACCAGCAGGCGUCGGACAUUCAUAAAGUUGAAAGAACAAACCUAUGACUUGAACACACAAUUUGUGAUCUGAAUAUAGUUCACAAAUUUAAGGAAAGCAACUAUCAAAGACAUUCAGAUUGAUGGUAUACAUGAAGUAUGAAUGAAAGACUUUUCAGAAGAACAAGCACAAUCCGGGUUCAUUCUUGCCAUUGUCUUCUCCAGACGGCGACAUUUAGGACCUGACUUACUUUUCAGAAAAAGAAGAUGAAUCGAUUUUUGAUAGUUGAUCUUAAAAAGAUAACAUUUUCAGGGGUCGUGGAUUGAAUGACAUUUUCUUGAUGGGCAACUUGUUUCAAGUAUUUGGAUGUCUAUUCUCAAGUUACUGCAAACCUUAAAUUAACUUCUUGAUUAUUAGUUAAAUGUGAGACCGUUUCUUACUUGAAGUAAUCAUUUUUUGAAUUGAGCUAUGUAAUCUCUGAUUACUUAUGUUUAUGAGUAGUGUUCAGCUUUAAGACAAAAGGAUCUUUUAUGAACACUGCAUUCGUCAUGGUGAAUUUCUAUACAUUAAGAAACAGUCAUAGUUUUCGUCUUUUUUAAUUAGCGAUCUCAUUUUAAAUGUGAGAAAUAAUUAUGAAACUGAAAUGUACAUUUAUGUUGUUUGAUUUUUAUUUUUUUGAAAAUUGUUAAUCAAUUGCCUGUUGUUGUUUUUUUUUCAUUUUAUUUUAGGGGAUGGGAGUGGGGGUGCAGCUGUAAGUUUGAGUAUAUUUUCCAAAAGGAUGUACAUCGUUAUUUUUGUUUUAAUAUCAAUUUUAAAAUGCAAAAUGAUGAGAUAUUAGACUACACAUUUUUUCUUAAAACUUCAUUUAAAUUAAUAUAUUUUGUUUAAAAUAAGUAGCAACAACAUGCAAGUUUUACAGUUAUUUGACAACUCACUAUAUACUUGUUUUUUACAUUUAUGAAGAUUGUCUCAAAUUUUGAGGGUUUUUUUCUGUGUUCUACAUUUAUUGACAUGUUUCUUAUCUGUGUUCAUCUUGUCGAGUAACUGAAAAGUUUGAUUAAAUCUUUUUUUA
Saccostrea cuccullata (small rock oyster) is the source of this 1519-nucleotide long non-coding RNA. RefSeq lists it as uncharacterized. The transcript is spliced from 3 exons. NCBI's taxonomy places the organism in Eukaryota, Metazoa, Mollusca, Bivalvia, Ostreida, Ostreidae. The record is from RefSeq and is a predicted model, not a curated record.